Molecule: non-coding RNA, 74 nt
Organism: Trichonephila clavata
Lineage: Eukaryota; Metazoa; Arthropoda; Arachnida; Araneae; Nephilidae
Source: the annotation of a GenBank genome assembly
UGCCGAAUAGCUCAGUUGGGAGAGCGUUAGACUGAAGAUCUAAAGGUCCCUGUUCGAAUCCCGGGUUUCGGCAA